UAGGGCUCUACCCUAGGAGUUUGGAAACCUGGCUUCAGUCGCCUGCUCCACCACAGUCUUCCUGUGUGACCUUCGAAAGGCAUCCGGUCUUGAUCAGAAGACAUCAAGAGAUGGAGAUUCCACCACUUCCCUUGACAGAUGUCUCAAUGGGCUUUGGAUAAAGCCCCAAGAGAAGAAAUGUUAACAGCCAUUGGCGGUGAUCGGUGAGAACAUGAGAACGGCCAUACUGGGUUAGACAAAAAGUCCAUCUAGCCCAGUAUCCUGUCUGCCGACAGAGGAGUCUGA
Molecule: long non-coding RNA, 285 nt
Organism: Malaclemys terrapin pileata
Lineage: Eukaryota; Metazoa; Chordata; Testudines; Emydidae
Exons: 3
Source: RefSeq, a predicted model, not a curated record